UCUACAUGAUGUUAACAGCUUGUAAUGAUUAUGCAUUGUGAUUAUUCAAGUUUAUUUUGUUUCAAGACGGGACUGACUAUAUUA
Molecule: non-coding RNA, 84 nt
Organism: Drosophila simulans
Lineage: Eukaryota; Metazoa; Arthropoda; Insecta; Diptera; Drosophilidae
Source: Rfam